RNAcentral lists this ribosomal RNA (2787 nucleotides) under Escherichia coli. RNAcentral describes it as "bacterial LSU rRNA". It matches the Rfam family "Bacterial large subunit ribosomal RNA". Lineage: Bacteria; Pseudomonadati; Pseudomonadota; Gammaproteobacteria; Enterobacterales; Enterobacteriaceae. The record is from RNAcentral.
AGCGUACACGGUGGAUGCCCUGGCAGUCAGAGGCGAUGAAGGACGUGCUAAUCUGCGAUAAGCGUCGGUAAGGUGAUAUGAACCGUUAUAACCGGCGAUUUCCGAAUGGGGAAACCCAGUGUGUUUCGACACACUAUCAUUAACUGAAUCCAUAGGUUAAUGAGGCGAACCGGGGGAACUGAAACAUCUAAGUACCCCGAGGAAAAGAAAUCAACCGAGAUUCCCCCAGUAGCGGCGAGCGAACGGGGAGCAGCCCAGAGUCUGAAUCAGUGUGUGUGUUAGUGGAAGCGUCUGGAAAGGCGCGCGAUACAGGGUGACAGCCCCGUACACAAAAAUGCACAUACUGUGAGCUCGAUGAGUAGGGCGGGACACGUGGUAUCCUGUCUGAAUAUGGGGGGACCAUCCUCCAAGGCUAAAUACUCCUGACUGACCGAUAGUGAACCAGUACCGUGAGGGAAAGGCGAAAAGAACCCCGGCGAGGGGAGUGAAAAAGAACCUGAAACCGUGUACGUACAAGCAGUGGGAGCACGCUUAGGCGUGUGACUGCGUACCUUUUGUAUAAUGGGUCAGCGACUUAUAUUCUGUAGCAAGGUUAACCGAAUAGGGGAGCCGAAGGGAAACCGAGUCUUAACUGGGCGUUAAGUUGCAGGGUAUAGACCCGAAACCCGGUGAUCUAGCCAUGGGCAGGUUGAAGGUUGGGUAACACUAACUGGAGGACCGAACCGACUAAUGUUGAAAAAUUAGCGGAUGACUUGUGGCUGGGGGUGAAAGGCCAAUCAAACCGGGAGAUAGCUGGUUCUCCCCGAAAGCUAUUUAGGUAGCGCCUCGUGAAUUCAUCUCCGGGGGUAGAGCACUGUUUCGGCAAGGGGGUCAUCCCGACUUACCAACCCGAUGCAAACUGCGAAUACCGGAGAAUGUUAUCACGGGAGACACACGGCGGGUGCUAACGUCCGUCGUGAAGAGGGAAACAACCCAGACCGCCAGCUAAGGUCCCAAAGUCAUGGUUAAGUGGGAAACGAUGUGGGAAGGCCCAGACAGCCAGGAUGUUGGCUUAGAAGCAGCCAUCAUUUAAAGAAAGCGUAAUAGCUCACUGGUCGAGUCGGCCUGCGCGGAAGAUGUAACGGGGCUAAACCAUGCACCGAAGCUGCGGCAGCGACGCUUAUGCGUUGUUGGGUAGGGGAGCGUUCUGUAAGCCUGUGAAGGUGUACUGUGAGGUAUGCUGGAGGUAUCAGAAGUGCGAAUGCUGACAUAAGUAACGAUAAAGCGGGUGAAAAGCCCGCUCGCCGGAAGACCAAGGGUUCCUGUCCAACGUUAAUCGGGGCAGGGUGAGUCGACCCCUAAGGCGAGGCCGAAAGGCGUAGUCGAUGGGAAACAGGUUAAUAUUCCUGUACUUGGUGUUACUGCGAAGGGGGGACGGAGAAGGCUAUGUUGGCCGGGCGACGGUUGUCCCGGUUUAAGCGUGUAGGCUGGUUUUCCAGGCAAAUCCGGAAAAUCAAGGCUGAGGCGUGAUGACGAGGCACUACGGUGCUGAAGCAACAAAUGCCCUGCUUCCAGGAAAAGCCUCUAAGCAUCAGGUAACAUCAAAUCGUACCCCAAACCGACACAGGUGGUCAGGUAGAGAAUACCAAGGCGCUUGAGAGAACUCGGGUGAAGGAACUAGGCAAAAUGGUGCCGUAACUUCGGGAGAAGGCACGCUGAUAUGUAGGUGAAGCGACUUGCUCGUGGAGCUGAAAUCAGUCGAAGAUACCAGCUGGCUGCAACUGUUUAUUAAAAACACAGCACUGUGCAAACACGAAAGUGGACGUAUACGGUGUGACGCCUGCCCGGUGCCGGAAGGUUAAUUGAUGGGGUCAGCGCAAGCGAAGCUCUUGAUCGAAGCCCCGGUAAACGGCGGCCGUAACUAUAACGGUCCUAAGGUAGCGAAAUUCCUUGUCGGGUAAGUUCCGACCUGCACGAAUGGCGUAAUGAUGGCCAGGCUGUCUCCACCCGAGACUCAGUGAAAUUGAACUCGCUGUGAAGAUGCAGUGUACCCGCGGCAAGACGGAAAGACCCCGUGAACCUUUACUAUAGCUUGACACUGAACAUUGAGCCUUGAUGUGUAGGAUAGGUGGGAGGCUUUGAAGUGUGGACGCCAGUCUGCAUGGAGCCGACCUUGAAAUACCACCCUUUAAUGUUUGAUGUUCUAACGUUGACCCGUAAUCCGGGUUGCGGACAGUGUCUGGUGGGUAGUUUGACUGGGGCGGUCUCCUCCUAAAGAGUAACGGAGGAGCACGAAGGUUGGCUAAUCCUGGUCGGACAUCAGGAGGUUAGUGCAAUGGCAUAAGCCAGCUUGACUGCGAGCGUGACGGCGCGAGCAGGUGCGAAAGCAGGUCAUAGUGAUCCGGUGGUUCUGAAUGGAAGGGCCAUCGCUCAACGGAUAAAAGGUACUCCGGGGAUAACAGGCUGAUACCGCCCAAGAGUUCAUAUCGACGGCGGUGUUUGGCACCUCGAUGUCGGCUCAUCACAUCCUGGGGCUGAAGUAGGUCCCAAGGGUAUGGCUGUUCGCCAUUUAAAGUGGUACGCGAGCUGGGUUUAGAACGUCGUGAGACAGUUCGGUCCCUAUCUGCCGUGGGCGCUGGAGAACUGAGGGGGGCUGCUCCUAGUACGAGAGGACCGGAGUGGACGCAUCACUGGUGUUCGGGUUGUCAUGCCAAUGGCACUGCCCGGUAGCUAAAUGCGGAAGAGAUAAGUGCUGAAAGCAUCUAAGCACGAAACUUGCCCCGAGAUGAGUUCUCCCUGACUCCUUGA